UUAAGCGACUAAGCGUACACGGUGGAUGCCCUGGCAGUCAGAGGCGAUGAAGGACGUGCUAAUCUGCGAUAAGCGUCGGUAAGGUGAUAUGAACCGUUAUAACCGGCGAUUUCCGAAUGGGGAAACCCAGUGUGUUUCGACACACUAUCAUUAACUGAAUCCAUAGGUUAAUGAGGCGAACCGGGGGAACUGAAACAUCUAAGUACCCCGAGGAAAAGAAAUCAACCGAGAUUCCCCCAGUAGCGGCGAGCGAACGGGGAGGAGCCCAGAGCCUGAAUCAGUGUGUGUGUUAGUGGAAGCGUCUGGAAAGGCGCGCGAUACAGGGUGACAGCCCCGUACACAAAAUGCACAUGCUGUGAGCUCGAUGAGUAGGGCGGGACACGUGGUAUCCUGUCUGAAUAUGGGGGGACCAUCCUCCAAGGCUAAAUACUCCUGACUGACCGAUAGUGAACCAGUACCGUGAGGGAAAGGCGAAAAGAACCCCGGCGAGGGGAGUGAAAAAGAACCUGAAACCGUGUACGUACAAGCAGUGGGAGCACAGAGCAAUCUGUGUGACUGCGUACCUUUUGUAUAAUGGGUCAGCGACUUAUAUUCUGUAGCAAGGUUAACCGAAUAGGGGAGCCGAAGGGAAACCGAGUCUUAACUGGGCGUUAAGUUGCAGGGUAUAGACCCGAAACCCGGUGAUCUAGCCAUGGGCAGGUUGAAGGUUGGGUAACACUAACUGGAGGACCGAACCGACUAAUGUUGAAAAUUAGCGGAUGACUUGUGGCUGGGGGUGAAAGGCCAAUCAAACCGGGAGAUAGCUGGUUCUCCCCGAAAGCUAUUUAGGUAGCGCCUCGUGAAUUCAUCUCCGGGGGUAGAGCACUGUUUCGGCAAGGGGGUCAUCCCGACUUACCAACCCGAUGCAAACUGCGAAUACCGGAGAAUGUUAUCACGGGAGACACACGGCGGGUGCUAACGUCCGUCGUGAAGAGGGAAACAACCCAGACCGCCAGCUAAGGUCCCAAAGUCAUGGUUAAGUGGGAAACGAUGUGGGAAGGCCCAGACAGCCAGGAUGUUGGCUUAGAAGCAGCCAUCAUUUAAAGAAAGCGUAAUAGCUCACUGGUCGAGUCGGCCUGCGCGGAAGAUGUAACGGGGCUAAACCAUGCACCGAAGCUGCGGCAGCGACACUGUGUGUUGUUGGGUAGGGGAGCGUUCUGUAAGCCUGUGAAGGUGUGCUGUGAGGUAUGCUGGAGGUAUCAGAAGUGCGAAUGCUGACAUAAGUAACGAUAAAGCGGGUGAAAAGCCCGCUCGCCGGAAGACCAAGGGUUCCUGUCCAACGUUAAUCGGGGCAGGGUGAGUCGACCCCUAAGGCGGGGCCGAAAGGCGUAGUCGAUGGGAAACAGGUUAAUAUUCCUGUACUUGGUGUUACUGCGAAGGGGGGACGGAGAAGGCUAUGUUGGCCGGGCGACGGUUGUCCCGGUUUAAGCGUGUAGGCUGGUUUUCCAGGCAAAUCCGGAAAAUCAAGGCUGAGGCGUGAUGACGAGGCACUACGGUGCUGAAGCAACAAAUGCCCUGCUUCCAGGAAAAGCCUCUAAGCAUCAGGUAACAUCAAAUCGUACCCCAAACCGACACAGGUGGUCAGGUAGAGAAUACCAAGGCGCUUGAGAGAACUCGGGUGAAGGAACUAGGCAAAAUGGUGCCGUAACUUCGGGAGAAGGCACGCUGAUAUGUAGGUGAAGUCCCUCGCGGAUGGAGCUGAAAUCAGUCGAAGAUACCAGCUGGCUGCAACUGUUUAUUAAAAACACAGCACUGUGCAAACACGAAAGUGGACGUAUACGGUGUGACGCCUGCCCGGUGCCGGAAGGUUAAUUGAUGGGGUCAGCGCAAGCGAAGCUCUUGAUCGAAGCCCCGGUAAACGGCGGCCGUAACUAUAACGGUCCUAAGGUAGCGAAAUUCCUUGUCGGGUAAGUUCCGACCUGCACGAAUGGCGUAAUGAUGGCCAGGCUGUCUCCACCCGAGACUCAGUGAAAUUGAACUCGCUGUGAAGAUGCAGUGUACCCGCGGCAAGACGGAAAGACCCCGUGAACCUUUACUAUAGCUUGACACUGAACAUUGAGCCUUGAUGUGUAGGAUAGGUGGGAGGCUUUGAAGUGUGGACGCCAGUCUGCAUGGAGCCGACCUUGAAAUACCACCCUUUAAUGUUUGAUGUUCUAACGUGGACCCGUGAUCCGGGUUGCGGACAGUGUCUGGUGGGUAGUUUGACUGGGGCGGUCUCCUCCUAAAGAGUAACGGAGGAGCACGAAGGUUGGCUAAUCCUGGUCGGACAUCAGGAGGUUAGUGCAAUGGCAUAAGCCAGCUUGACUGCGAGCGUGACGGCGCGAGCAGGUGCGAAAGCAGGUCAUAGUGAUCCGGUGGUUCUGAAUGGAAGGGCCAUCGCUCAACGGAUAAAAGGUACUCCGGGGAUAACAGGCUGAUACCGCCCAAGAGUUCAUAUCGACGGCGGUGUUUGGCACCUCGAUGUCGGCUCAUCACAUCCUGGGGCUGAAGUAGGUCCCAAGGGUAUGGCUGUUCGCCAUUUAAAGUGGUACGCGAGCUGGGUUUAGAACGUCGUGAGACAGUUCGGUCCCUAUCUGCCGUGGGCGCUGGAGAACUGAGGGGGGCUGCUCCUAGUACGAGAGGACCGGAGUGGACGCAUCACUGGUGUUCGGGUUGUCAUGCCAAUGGCACUGCCCGGUAGCUAAAUGCGGAAGAGAUAAGUGCUGAAAGCAUCUAAGCACGAAACUUGCCCCGAGAUGAGUUCUCCCUGACCCUUUAAGGGUCCUGAAGGAACGUUGAAGACGACGACGUUGAUAGGCCGGGUGUGUAAGCGCAGCGAUGCGUUGAGCUAACCGGUACUAAUGAACCGUGAGGCUUAACCUU
This 2901-nucleotide ribosomal RNA is filed under the name Escherichia coli DEC3F. RNAcentral describes it as "bacterial LSU rRNA". It matches the Rfam family "Bacterial large subunit ribosomal RNA". The record is from RNAcentral. Lineage: Bacteria; Pseudomonadati; Pseudomonadota; Gammaproteobacteria; Enterobacterales; Enterobacteriaceae.